AAGUCGUAACAAGGUUUCCGUAGGUGAACCUGCGGAAGGAUCAUUAACACGUAUCCAACGUUAAUCCCCCCUUCAUUUCUUGACUAAGAGACAACCUUCUUACCAAGAGCAGGCAUUACAGGGCAUCGGGAUUGGGUUAACAAUGGAUAUCUUGGCUCUC
RNAcentral lists this unclassified non-coding RNA (160 nucleotides) under fungal sp. RNAcentral describes it as "partial internal transcribed spacer region". The stretch from base 1 to 46 matches the Rfam family "Eukaryotic small subunit ribosomal RNA", at positions 1786 to 1831 of the family's 1831-position model. Lineage: Eukaryota; Fungi. The record is from RNAcentral.